GCCGGGCAUGGUGGCAGAUGCCUGUAGUCCCACCUACUGGGGAGUCUGAGGUGGGAGAACUGCUUCAGCCAGGAGUUCUGGGCUGUAGUGUGCUAUCCUGAUUGGGUGUCCACAAUAAGUUCAGCAUCAAUAUGGUGACCUCCCAGGAGCGGGAGACCACCAGGUUGCCUAAGGAUGGGUGAACCGGCCCAGGUCGGAAACGGAGCAGGUCAAAACUCCCGUGCUGAUUAGCAGUGGGAUCGCGCCUGUGAAUAGCCACUGCACUCCAGCCUGGGCAACAGAGUAAGACCCCGUCUCU
RNAcentral lists this signal recognition particle RNA (298 nucleotides) under Saimiri boliviensis boliviensis (Bolivian squirrel monkey). RNAcentral's name for it is "Metazoan signal recognition particle RNA (ENSSBOG00000006866.1)". It matches the Rfam family "Metazoan signal recognition particle RNA". From Rfam's summary of the family: The signal recognition particle (SRP) is a universally conserved ribonucleoprotein. It is involved in the co-translational targeting of proteins to membranes. The record is from RNAcentral. Lineage: Eukaryota; Metazoa; Chordata; Mammalia; Primates; Cebidae.